Molecule: small RNA, 128 nt
Filed under: Marmota monax (woodchuck)
Lineage: Eukaryota; Metazoa; Chordata; Mammalia; Rodentia; Sciuridae
Source: RNAcentral
ACCAGGUGUGGUAGGCACGCCUGUAAUCCAAGCAGCUCAGGAGGCUGAGGCAGGAGAAUCAUAAGUUAAAAGCCAGCCUCAGAAAUGGCAAGGCACUAAGCAACUCAGUGAGUGAGAUCCUGUCUCUA